This 253-nucleotide ribosomal RNA is filed under the name uncultured bacterium. Its description in RNAcentral is "partial 16S ribosomal RNA". It matches the Rfam family "Bacterial small subunit ribosomal RNA", at positions 524 to 776 of the family's 1533-position model. The record is from RNAcentral.
UACGUAGGUGGCAAGCGUUGUCCGGAUUUAUUGGGUUUAAAGGGUGCGUAGGCGGUCUUUUAAGUCAGUGCUGAAAUACUCCAGCUUAACUGGAGGGGUGGCAUUGAUACUGGGAGACUUGAGUAUAGUUGAGGUAGGCGGAAUUGACGGUGUAGCGGUGAAAUGCGCAGAUAUCAGGAGGAACACCGAUGGCGAAGGCAGGUCUCUGGGCAUUAACUGACGCUGAGGAGCGAAAGCAUGGGGAGCGAACAGG